This 222-nucleotide ribosomal RNA is filed under the name Triticum aestivum (bread wheat). Its description in RNAcentral is "partial small subunit ribosomal RNA". Lineage: Eukaryota; Viridiplantae; Streptophyta; Magnoliopsida; Poales; Poaceae. The record is from RNAcentral.
AUGGAGGUGGUGAAUGCGUUGAGCCAAGGCUACUCUUCUUCAGUCGCUUCAUCCAUUAUAGAUGACUGUUAUUUCAUGUCAUUAGGUUUUUUCCAUGUCACUUAUGAUCAUUGUAAUAGGGAUCGUAAUCGAGUAGCUCAUGAACUAGCAAGGUUAGCUAGGUUUUCUUCUCCGAGUGUUUGGAUGGAUAACGCCCUGAUGAGGUUAUCCCUUUACUUGUAA